GACGUAGGAUGCGAGCGUUGUCCGGAUUUAUUGGGCGUAAAGAGUUCGUAGGUGGUUUGUUAAGUCUGAUGUUAAAGACUGGGGCUCAACCUCGGAAAUGCAUUGGAUACUGGCAGACUUGAGUGCAGUAGAGGCAAGCGGAAUUCCAGGUGUAGCGGUGAAAUGCGUAGAUAUCUGGAAGAACACCGGUGGCGUAAGCGGCUUGCUGGGCUGUAACUGACACUGAGGAACGAAAGCUAGGGUAGCGAAUGGG
RNAcentral lists this ribosomal RNA (253 nucleotides) under uncultured bacterium. RNAcentral's name for it is "partial 16S ribosomal RNA". It matches the Rfam family "Bacterial small subunit ribosomal RNA", at positions 524 to 776 of the family's 1533-position model. The record is from RNAcentral.